UUCCGGUUGAUCCUGCCAGAGGUUACUGCUAUCGGUGUUCGCCUAAGCCAUGCGAGUCAUAUGUAGCAAUACAUGGCGUACUGCUCAGUAACACGUGGAUAACCUGCCCUUGGGACCGGCAUAACCCCGGGAAACUGGGGAUAAUUCCGGAUAACGCAUAUUUGCUGGAAUGCUUUAUGCGUCAAAAGGAUUCGUCUGCCCAAGGAUGGGUCUGCGGCCUAUCAGGUAGUAGUGGGUGUAAUGUACCUACUAGCCAGCGACGGGUACGGGUUGUGAGAGCAAGAGCCCGGAGAUGGAUUCUGAGACAUGAAUCCAGGCCCUACGGGGCGCAGCAGGCGCGAAAACUUUACAAUGCGGGAAACCGUGAUAAGGGGACACCGAGUGCCAGCAUCAUAUGCUGGCUGUCCGGAUGUGUAAAAUACAUCCGUUAGCAAGGGCCGGGCAAGACCGGUGCCAGCCGCCGCGGUAACACCGGCGGCCCGAGUGGUGAUCGUGAUUAUUGGGUCUAAAGGGUCCGUAGCCGGUUUGGUCAGUCCUCCGGGAAAUCUGAUAGCUCAACUAUUAGGCUUUCGGGGGAUACUGCCAGACUUGGAACCGGGAGAGGUAAGAGGUACUACAGGGGUAGGAGUGAAAUCUUGUAAUCCCUGUGGGACCACCUGUGGCGAAGGCGUCUUACCAGAACGGGUUCGACGGUGAGGGACGAAAGCUGGGGGCACGAACCGGAUUAGAUACCCGGGUAGUCCCAGCCGUAAACGAUGCUCACUAGGUGUCAGGCAUGGCGCGACCGUGUCUGGUGCCGCAGGGAAGCCGUGAAGCGAGCCACCUGGGAAGUACGGCCGCAAGGCUGAAACUUAAAGGAAUUGGCGGGGGAGCACAACAACGGGUGGAGCCUGCGGUUUAAUUGGAUUCAACGCCGGG
This 918-nucleotide ribosomal RNA is filed under the name uncultured archaeon. RNAcentral's name for it is "bacterial SSU rRNA". It matches the Rfam family "Archaeal small subunit ribosomal RNA", at positions 1 to 922 of the family's 1478-position model. The record is from RNAcentral.